UCACACUGUACCUUGAUCUUGUGUGACCAGCCAGGCUUGGACCUUCCCAGACCUGAUAAACAAGGUGUCUGACGUCGGGCUCUGAACUCCACCUCCUGGCCCCUGGCUGCAGACGCAGGUGGAGGACCCCUCUGCUGCUGUCCCCAGGAUGAGCUGCAGCACCAAGUUGCCCCCAAGCGUGCUGUGGACAGAUCCCCGGUGCCCAGUGCUGCUUGGGCCUCUCAACCAGCCCAUCUCGGGAGGCUUUGGGCAGUCCCUUAUGUAUAAUUCGAUGGUUUUCAUCACACUCACAGAGUUGUGCAACCAUGGAAUAAACUAAUGCUCAGCCGUGGCUGCCAGGAAACA
This 345-nucleotide long non-coding RNA is filed under the name Marmota monax (woodchuck). Lineage: Eukaryota; Metazoa; Chordata; Mammalia; Rodentia; Sciuridae. The record is from RNAcentral.